UACGAAGGGGGCUAGCGUUGCUCGGAAUCACUGGGCGUAAAGCGCACGUAGGCGGCUUCUUAAGUCAGGGGUGAAAUCCUGGAGCUCAACUCCAGAACUGCCCUUGAUACUGAGAGGCUCGAGUCCGGGAGAGGUGAGUGGAACUCCGAGUGUAGAGGUGAAAUUCGUAGAUAUUCGGAAGAACACCAGUGGCGAAGGCGGCCAACUGGACCAUUACUGACGCUGAGGCGCGAAAGCGUGGGGAGCAAACAGG
Molecule: ribosomal RNA, 253 nt
Filed under: uncultured bacterium
Lineage: Bacteria
Description: partial 16S ribosomal RNA
Rfam family: Bacterial small subunit ribosomal RNA
Source: RNAcentral